UGUAUAAUGGGUCAGCGACUUAUAUUCUGUAGCAAGGUUAACCGAAUAGGGGAGCCGAAGGGAAACCGAGUCUUAACUGGGCGUUAAGUUGCAGGGUAUAGACCCGAAACCCGGUGAUCUAGCCAUGGGCAGGUUGAAGGUUGGGUAACACUAACUGGAGGACCGAACCGACUAAUGUUGAAAAAUUAGCGGAUGACUUGUGGCUGGGGGUGAAAGGCCAAUCAAACCGGGAGAUAGCUGGUUCUCCCCGAAAGCUAUUUAGGUAGCGCCUCGUGAAUUCAUCUCCGGGGGUAGAGCACUGUUUCGGCAAGGGGGUCAUCCCGACUUACCAACCCGAUGCAAACUGCGAAUACCGGAGAAUGUUAUCACGGGAGACACACGGCGGGUGCUAACGUCCGUCGUGAAGAGGGAAACAACCCAGACCGCCAGCUAAGGUCCCAAAGUCAUGGUUAAGUGGGAAACGAUGUGGGAAGGCCCAGACAGCCAGGAUGUUGGCUUAGAAGCAGCCAUCAUUUAAAGAAAGCGUAAUAGCUCACUGGUCGAGUCGGCCUGCGCGGAAGAUGUAACGGGGCUAAACCAUGCACCGAAGCUGCGGCAGCGACACUAUGUGUUGUUGGGUAGGGGAGCGUUCUGUAAGCCUGUGAAGGUGUACUGUGAGGUAUGCUGGAGGUAUCAGAAGUGCGAAUGCUGACAUAAGUAACGAUAAAGCGGGUGAAAAGCCCGCUCGCCGGAAGACCAAGGGUUCCUGUCCAACGUUAAUCGGGGCAGGGUGAGUCGACCCCUAAGGCGAGGCCGAAAGGCGUAGUCGAUGGGAAACAGGUUAAUAUUCCUGUACUUGGUGUUACUGCGAAGGGGGGACGGAGAAGGCUAUGUUGGCCGGGCGACGGUUGUCCCGGUUUAAGCGUGUAGGCUGGUUUUCCAGGCAAAUCCGGAAAAU
RNAcentral lists this ribosomal RNA (937 nucleotides) under Escherichia coli. Its description in RNAcentral is "partial 23S ribosomal RNA". It matches the Rfam family "Bacterial large subunit ribosomal RNA", at positions 609 to 1550 of the family's 2925-position model. The record is from RNAcentral. Lineage: Bacteria; Pseudomonadati; Pseudomonadota; Gammaproteobacteria; Enterobacterales; Enterobacteriaceae.